This 37-nucleotide small RNA is filed under the name Propionibacterium australiense. RNAcentral's name for it is "CRISPR_Spacer". Lineage: Bacteria; Bacillati; Actinomycetota; Actinomycetes; Propionibacteriales; Propionibacteriaceae. The record is from RNAcentral.
CAUGUACAUCUCCGACGAGUUGGAGGGACGGUGAAUC